UACGGAGGGUGCAAUCGUUGCUCGGAAUCAUUGGGCGUAAAGGGUGCGUAGGCGGCGCGGUAAGUCGGGUGUGAAAUCUCGGAGCUUAACUCCGAAACUGCAUUCGAUACUGCCGUGCUUGAGGACUGGAGAGGAGACUGGAAUUUACGGUGUAGCGGUGAAAUGCGUAGAUAUCGUAAGGAAGACCAGUGGCGAAGGCGGGUCUCUGGACAGUUCCUGACGCUGAGGCACGAAGGUCAGGGGAGCAAACGGG
Molecule: ribosomal RNA, 253 nt
Filed under: uncultured bacterium
Lineage: Bacteria
Description: partial 16S ribosomal RNA
Rfam family: Bacterial small subunit ribosomal RNA
Source: RNAcentral